CAUGAAAUUAUGUUAAUAUUAGUCAAAUAAAAUCUAUGUAUAACGUUAAUUAAUAUGUAUUAUAAGUACAGUCAAAGAAUUUAAUUUGUGACCCAUUUCGUACCUUAUCACAGUGACAAUAGUAUGAGGUCUCUAGCGAGUUUCAUGUUGUUUGUCACUGUGACAAGGUACGAAAUGGGUAAGAAAUUAAAUUCCUUGACCGUACCAACCAAUACCAACCUGAUUACGUUAUAACCUACAAUUAUACAUGCCUGCCUACAUAUUUUACAUCACGUAAAAAGGUAAAAUAAGAAUAAAUAUUUUUAUUUUUAUUCUUAAUAAUAUUUAAACGAAGAAAUAAAUUUAAAAUAUAUUUCUAAGACCCGUGUUCAAAUUCAAUUCUAAUUCAAACGAAUAAAGAUACUUUGGAAUUUGUGGGGAUUGAUAGAAAUUAAACUGGCAAUACUAUAUCGUUGACUUGCACUGCAGAGUGCCUACCGCGAACCACAUUCGACGUGUUGCCUCCCUGUCACAUUUACGUACGAAGUUACAAGUGCGACAGAGAGGCAACACGUCAAUGGUGGUCCGCGGUAGGCCCUCUCCUCUGUUUCGGAACGGAACAUACUGUGGUGUCUGUGGUUAGUGUGGUUUCGUUUCGGUAUUUGACUCCUGCGUAUGCGCUCCUUGUUAUUCAUUACUUUUUAUUCAUUGUUUUGUUUUUUUGUUAUUUGACUUCGGCAUUCUCUACGGACUUACGAUUGCUCCACGAUACGGAUUUGUUGACAAGGGAUAACGACAACAAGGCACACUGAACGGACAAAGAAACACAAAAAACAUGGCUCCUGGCCGGCGCUGUCAAUACAUAAAUUGCCUAAAUACAAGCGGAACUCAUUCAUUAUUCCGUUUUCCAGUAAAGGAUACAAAUCGUCUACGAACAUGGAUAAACAAUUCAGGAACUGCAGUUGAAGUGACACCUGAUACAUCACCACAAAAAUUAAA
Molecule: long non-coding RNA, 978 nt
Organism: Cydia pomonella (codling moth)
Lineage: Eukaryota; Metazoa; Arthropoda; Insecta; Lepidoptera; Tortricidae
Exons: 2
Source: RefSeq, a predicted model, not a curated record